CAGUAGCCGCGGGAAUACGGAGGGUGCAAGCGUUAAUCGGAAUUACUGGGCGUAAAGCGCACGCAGGCGGUCUGACAAGUCAGAUGUGAAAUCCCCGGGCUUAACCUGGGAACUGCAUUUGAAACUGUCAGGCUGGAGUCUUGUAGAGGGGGGUGGAAUUCCAGGUGUAGCGGUGAAAUGCGUAGAGAUCUGGAGGAAUACCGGUGGCGAAGGCGGCCCCCUGGACAAAGACUGACGCUCAGGUGCGAAAGCGUGGGGAGCAAACAGGAUUAGAUACCCCUGUAGUCCCUGUCUCUUAUAC
This 301-nucleotide ribosomal RNA is filed under the name uncultured bacterium. RNAcentral describes it as "partial 16S ribosomal RNA". It matches the Rfam family "Bacterial small subunit ribosomal RNA", at positions 509 to 807 of the family's 1533-position model. The record is from RNAcentral.